This is a non-coding RNA of Phoenix dactylifera (date palm), 103 nucleotides long. The record is from RefSeq and is a predicted model, not a curated record. NCBI's taxonomy places the organism in Eukaryota, Viridiplantae, Streptophyta, Magnoliopsida, Arecales, Arecaceae.
CUCUCUUUGGAGACCUAUGAUAAAAUUGGAACGAUAUAGGGAAGAUAUGCAUGGCCCGGUGCAAGCAGGAUGAUGCAUAAAUCAAGAAAUGGUCCACAUUUUU